AUUGAACGCUGGCGGCAGGCCUAACACAUGCAAGUCGAACGAGCGGCGGACGGGUGAGUAAUGUCUGGGGACUGCCCGAUGGAGGGGGAUAACUACUGGAAACGGUAGCUAAUACCGCAUACUAUCGGAUAACCCAGAUGGGAUUAGCUAGUAGGUGAGGUAAUGGCUGACCUAGGCGACGAUCCCUAGCUGGUCUGAGAGGAUGAUCAGCCACACUGGGACUGAGACACGGCCCAGACUCCUACGGAGGCAGCAGUGGGGAAUAUUGCACAAUGGGCGCAAGCCGGAUGCAGCCAUGCCGCGUGUAUGAAGAAGGCCUUAGGGUUGUAAAGUACUUUCAGGCGGGAGGCGUUACCGGCAGAAGAAGCACCGGCUAACUCCGUGCCAGCAGCCGCGGUAAUUC
This 403-nucleotide ribosomal RNA is filed under the name uncultured bacterium. RNAcentral describes it as "partial 16S ribosomal RNA". It matches the Rfam family "Bacterial small subunit ribosomal RNA", at positions 30 to 526 of the family's 1533-position model. The record is from RNAcentral.